This is a long non-coding RNA of Hypanus sabinus (Atlantic stingray), 594 nucleotides long. RefSeq lists it as uncharacterized. The transcript is spliced from 3 exons. The record is from RefSeq and is a predicted model, not a curated record. Lineage: Eukaryota; Metazoa; Chordata; Chondrichthyes; Myliobatiformes; Dasyatidae.
AAAGAGCAGGGACCAGACAAAGUUCAGUGACCUGGGUCUGGAGAGUGAGGGAGCUCCUCCAGCUGAUUAAUAAGGGUCGUUCUGUCAGGACUGAUCGCAAUUUCAAGAGCACGGUUGAGUACCCCUUAACCAAAAUGUUUGUGGCCAGAAGAAUUUUGGAUUUUGUGACAUAUAAUGAGAGAGCUUGAGAUCACCAUCAUUUCCAAUAUUUCCAACUCUGAAUUUAUAUGCUAUCGAUCAUUGAAAUUUACAAGUACGCACUGUCUGAGAAAAUGGACAACAUUGGGCUUCGUGCAGUCAUCCGCUACCUCGGUCUCAAGGAGGUCCACGAGAACAUGAUGGCAACACUAGGGGAGGGUGAAAAAUAAAUAAAUAUGCGAGGUUUUCUAAAAUUAACUACUUCUUCCUUGGGCCACGGCCUUAUCAAUCACCCUUUGUAUAUCGCACUAUCUACAACCCUGAAAUUCAUUUUCUUGUGGGCAUGCUCAAUAAUAACCAUAAUGAAAGACUGCGCCAACUAGGCAUUCAAUCACUGUGUAAAAGACAAGCUGCAAAUACAAAAAAAAGUAAUAAAUAAAUAAAGGUCAAACAUGA